RNAcentral lists this ribosomal RNA (957 nucleotides) under Bacillus amyloliquefaciens. RNAcentral's name for it is "bacterial SSU rRNA". It matches the Rfam family "Bacterial small subunit ribosomal RNA", at positions 118 to 1060 of the family's 1533-position model. The record is from RNAcentral. Lineage: Bacteria; Bacillati; Bacillota; Bacilli; Caryophanales; Bacillaceae.
UGGGUAACCUGCCUGUAAGACUGGGAUAACUCCGGGAAACCGGGGCUAAUACCGGAUGGUUGUCUGAACCGCAUGGUUCAGACAUAAAAGGUGGCUUCGGCUACCACUUACAGAUGGACCCGCGGCGCAUUAGCUAGUUGGUGAGGUAACGGCUCACCAAGGCGACGAUGCGUAGCCGACCUGAGAGGGUGAUCGGCCACACUGGGACUGAGACACGGCCCAGACUCCUACGGGAGGCAGCAGUAGGGAAUCUUCCGCAAUGGACGAAAGUCUGACGGAGCAACGCCGCGUGAGUGAUGAAGGUUUUCGGAUCGUAAAGCUCUGUUGUUAGGGAAGAACAAGUGCCGUUCAAAUAGGGCGGCACCUUGACGGUACCUAACCAGAAAGCCACGGCUAACUACGUGCCAGCAGCCGCGGUAAUACGUAGGUGGCAAGCGUUGUCCGGAAUUAUUGGGCGUAAAGGGCUCGCAGGCGGUUUCUUAAGUCUGAUGUGAAAGCCCCCGGCUCAACCGGGGAGGGUCAUUGGAAACUGGGGAACUUGAGUGCAGAAGAGGAGAGUGGAAUUCCACGUGUAGCGGUGAAAUGCGUAGAGAUGUGGAGGAACACCAGUGGCGAAGGCGACUCUCUGGUCUGUAACUGACGCUGAGGAGCGAAAGCGUGGGGAGCGAACAGGAUUAGAUACCCUGGUAGUCCACGCCGUAAACGAUGAGUGCUAAGUGUUAGGGGGUUUCCGCCCCUUAGUGCUGCAGCUAACGCAUUAAGCACUCCGCCUGGGGAGUACGGUCGCAAGACUGAAACUCAAAGGAAUUGACGGGGGCCCGCACAAGCGGUGGAGCAUGUGGUUUAAUUCGAAGCAACGCGAAGAACCUUACCAGGUCUUGACAUCCUCUGACAAUCCUAGAGAUAGGACGUCCCCUUCGGGGGCAGAGUGACAGGUGGUGCAUGGUGUCGUCAGCU